GGCGCGAUGGCGGAGUGGUUAACGCGAGAGACUAGAACCCAACUAUCUAUCUCUUCCCUUCGGGGGCGUAGGUUCGAAUCCUGCUCGCGUCG
Molecule: transfer RNA, 92 nt
Filed under: Histoplasma ohiense
Lineage: Eukaryota; Fungi; Ascomycota; Eurotiomycetes; Onygenales; Ajellomycetaceae
Rfam family: tRNA
About the family: Transfer RNA (tRNA) molecules are approximately 80 nucleotides in length. Their secondary structure includes four short double-helical elements and three loops (D, anti-codon, and T loops).
Source: Rfam by way of RNAcentral